CUGAAGAUUUGGUCGCAAGACCGCUCUUCCACCCUUUGUUUACCAUACCAUGUUGCUUUGGCGAGUCGCCCUAGGCCACCGGCUUCGGCUGGUGCGUGCUCGCCAGAGACCUCAACCAACCUGAUUUUUGUGUUUGUCUGAACAACUUUUAAAUUAUUA
RNAcentral lists this unclassified non-coding RNA (159 nucleotides) under soil metagenome. Its description in RNAcentral is "partial internal transcribed spacer 1". The record is from RNAcentral.